RNAcentral lists this unclassified non-coding RNA (549 nucleotides) under Trichoderma harzianum. RNAcentral describes it as "sequence contains ITS1, 5.8S rRNA gene and ITS2". The stretch from base 170 to 323 matches the Rfam family "5.8S ribosomal RNA". The record is from RNAcentral. Lineage: Eukaryota; Fungi; Ascomycota; Sordariomycetes; Hypocreales; Hypocreaceae.
CGUUACCAAACUGUUGCCUCGGCGGGAUCUCUGCCCCGGGUGCGUCGCAGCCCCGGACCAAGGCGCCCGCCGGAGGACCAACCAAAACUCUUUUUGUAUACCCCCUCGCGGGUUUUUUAUAAUCUGAGCCUUCUCGGCGCCUCUCGUAGGCGUUUCGAAAAUGAAUCAAAACUUUCAACAACGGAUCUCUUGGUUCUGGCAUCGAUGAAGAACGCAGCGAAAUGCGAUAAGUAAUGUGAAUUGCAGAAUUCAGUGAAUCAUCGAAUCUUUGAACGCACAUUGCGCCCGCCAGUAUUCUGGCGGGCAUGCCUGUCCGAGCGUCAUUUCAACCCUCGAACCCCUCCGGGGGGUCGGCGUUGGGGAUCGGCCCUGCCUCUUGGCGGUGGCCGUCUCCGAAAUACAGUGGCGGUCUCGCCGCAGCCUCUCCUGCGCAGUAGUUUGCACACUCGCAUCGGGAGCGCGGCGCGUCCACAGCCGUUAAACACCCAACUUCUGAAAUGUUGACCUCGGAUCAGGUAGGAAUACCCGCUGAACUUAAGCAUAUCAAUA